This 254-nucleotide ribosomal RNA is filed under the name uncultured bacterium. Its description in RNAcentral is "partial 16S ribosomal RNA". It matches the Rfam family "Bacterial small subunit ribosomal RNA", at positions 524 to 776 of the family's 1533-position model. The record is from RNAcentral.
CACGUAGGGUGCGAGCGUUGUCCGGAAUUAUUGGGCGUAAAGAGCUCGUAGGUGGUGUGUCGCGUCGGCCGUGAAAACCUGCAGCUUAACUGUGGGCGUGCGGUCGAUACGGGCAUCACUGGAGUUCGGCAGGGGAGACUGGAAUUCCUGGUGUAGCGGUGAAAUGCGCAGAUAUCAGGAGGAACACCGGUGGCGAAGGCGGGUCUCUGGGCCGAUACUGACGCUGAGGAGCGAAAGCGUGGGGAGCGAACAGG